AUGACCCCAGGUCAGGCGG
Molecule: ribosomal RNA, 19 nt
Filed under: Calamus concolor
Lineage: Eukaryota; Viridiplantae; Streptophyta; Magnoliopsida; Arecales; Arecaceae
Description: partial 26S ribosomal RNA
Source: RNAcentral